GGAAUUUAAAGACCAAAUUCACGAGAGCAAUUCGUUUCUCAAUAUUAACAUGCACCACCAUAUACAGCAACUAUCACAAACAAAAUCGCAGGUGAAAAUAAUAUCUAUAAAAUAAAAACCAUGUUGAUUUUCAUUACCAACAUCUAAAGAUCUAACAUGCCUUCUCCAAGAAUGGAUUCACGACAGAGAAGCUUCGAAUGCUCCUUCUCCACUUGCAUCCACACAUCAAAUCUCUAAAGCCGAUGUGAGUCUGCUCCCAUGCAUCUCUAGGAGAAAAGAAGCAUUAAAGAAAAUUUGCAGGAUUCUCAAUACAGCAAGGAGGAUGUCGAAAUUUCCGUUCUGUCCAGAAACAUUAUAUUCAUUGCCUUUCAAUCCUCGUGUCCAAAUGUUGUCCUCGACAAAUCUAUGUACCCCACAGCUCAUCAAAGAGAGCAAGUUUCAAGUUACAGUCAGUUCCAUUAGGCUCCCUUUUUCUUUUGUUCUUUGGAUGGUUUUUCAUCUUUUGUGAGCAUCCUUGGUGCUUAGGCCAUGGCCAUGAGCUCUUGGAAGAGCAGCUUACAGGCAUAAGGAAUGUGCACCUGAACAAUGUCAGUCUUAUUCUUGCAACCUCUGCAUUCAAAAGAAUUCUUCUUGAGAUUUGCAACUGCUAUCAAUCACACCACUCACAAACAUGGACCCAAUAGGCAUCGCUCUGAUCAAACAGCCUCUCUUUGAGAAAGUGUGCCGCACCAUGUGCGAUCAUGCAAUCUCGUUCCAUUUCCCCAAAGCGGAGGCCGCCAUCACGUGAUCGUCCUUCAGCAGGUUGCCUUGUGAGGAUCUGCACAGGACCCCUUCCACGUGAAUGGAUCUUGUCAUCAACCAUGUGCUUCAGCCUUUGGUAAUAAGUGGGGCCAAGGAAAAUCAUAGCAGUAAGCCGCCGGCCAGUGUGGUCAUUAUACAUGGUCUCAAACCCACGCACUUGAUACCCACGUUUAUGGAGAGCCCUGCUAAUGUUGUCCACCUAAAAAUCAAAUGAGAAUAGAUGAUAAGUACACAUCAAAUAAGUUGACAUCAGAUUACUCAAAUACAGACUCGAGCAAUCUACAGGGACGUCGGUAAAUGGAGUAGCAUCCCCUUCCUUUCCCAUGUGAGCUGCAACCUUCCCCAUAAUACACUCGAUAAGCUGACCAAUUGUCAUUCGAGAAGGAAUAGCAUGAAGAUUCACAAUGAUAUCAGGAGUGAUGCCUUCCACAGUCCAAUGCAUGUCUUCUUGAGUGCAAGUCAUGCCUACUGUUCCCUUUUGACCAUGCCUACUGCUAAACUUGUCUCCAAUCUGAGGUAUGCGAACAGACCUCACCCUUACUUUAACAAACCUCAACCCAUCAGCAUUUGUUGUCAGAAGAACUUGAUCCACUAUUCCCGUUUCACUGUGGCGCAAGCUUAUGCUGUGAUCACGCCUUGUAUAACGUGCAGACUGUCCCUGAGCUUCAUCUUGGGAAAUAGAAGUGGUCUUUCCAAUGAUUACAUCCUCACCUGAAACUCUUGUACCUGGAGGUGCAAGACCAUCAUCAGCCAAUUUAUCAUAAGAGCCAUGCCGCAUGCCCAUUGUAUUAGCUCUGUCUGGACGCCCAAAAUCCUCUCUGACAAGUGUGCCCAUCUUUUUCUCCUCAUCCCUAUAUGAAUGGAAGAAAGUGAUCUGAAGAAUCCAUGGUCAAUUGAUGAUUGGUUCAUAAUGACAGAAUCUUCUUGAUUGUAUCCAGAACAGCAGGCAAUGGCAACAAUAGCAUUAAUGCCAGCUGGAAGCUGCCUAAAGUGAAGGUGCUCCAUAGCUCUUGUAGCAACAAGUGGUUUUUGAGGAUAAUAAAGAACAUAAGCCAAUGUCAUUUGAAAUUGAUAGUUGGUAACAUAUAUUCCCAUCGCUUGCUUUCCCAUAGCAGAUUGAUAUGUGUUACAUGGGGACUGGUUAUUAUCUGGAAAAGGAAUAAUUGAAGCACAAGCACCUAAAAUCAAUGAUGGGUGAAUCUCACAGUGGGUGUAAGUAUCAGCAUAUGCUUCCUAUGGGUUAAGCCUUGCUUGUACAAGAUCCUGGACCCAUAAUUCGCAAUUGUGAUUUCAUCUGUUGUUCACAACCUCCUAAUUACAUAGCGUAGAGAUGCAUUACAUUAGCAGAUUUCUAUCAAUCAAAACUGUUUUACUUAAAUGGAUGGUCAUGGAUAUCAUAGUGGUCUCUUCUUCCUCUGUGUCAAUAUAUUCCAUAAAUCCUUUUGCCACAAGAUCAUGCCAACAACCCUCUUCUAAGGAUUCCCUCUGCUUCAGAGUAUGAAUGUCCUUCUUCUUGAUGAGAAGCCUUUGUUUCUCAACAAUGAACAAAGGACGACUGCAACGGCCAUAGUCUGUGUAUAUUCGCAGCUCUUUCAAACGAAUAUCUCUAACGACCCCAACUUCAGUGUUGACAUCAACCCGUCUCCUCAGCCGUCUCAAUGUCUUGACCAACAUAUCAGGAUUACGAUGGAUGCCUACCCAGCAACCAUUAACAAAAAUUUUUGUAGCUUGAGGAAUAACUGCAGGAGAUAUUUCCUCAAAAUUCUCAGUACCCCAUUCCUCCAAAAAUUCCAAGAUAGGAUACGCAGCAGAUCCAACAGUUAUGUACACCAUCAAUGCAAGAUUCUUCACCAGUCCACAAGCUUGUCCUUCAGGUGUUUCAGCUGGACACAUCAUUCCCCAUUGUGAAUUAUGCAACUGCCUAGGUUUAGCCAAUUUCCCUUCACGCCCAAUUGGAGAAUUCAAUCUUCGUAAGUGUGACAAGGUAGAUGCAUAUGUCAAACGAUUUAACACCUGUGACACUCCAGCUCUUGUACCAGCUGCAUUUGCUUGCCCCCAGUUACCAGUGGCUAGCGAGUAUUUAAGACCACUAGUAAUGGUUUUUGAUUUAAUGGAAAAUUGCAAAUUAACAUCCUUUCCGUUAUCUACACACUUUUGCACAUAAGAUCUGACAUCCCUAGUCAACUUUCUGAAUAACAUUCUAAAGAGUCCACCAAGUAAAGGACCAGCAAGGUCAAGUCUUUUGUUGCCAUAAUGAUCCCUGUCAUCUUCUGCCCUCCGGCCAAGUGCACAAAGUAGAAGCCGGUGAAUUAUGUACCCAAAAUAGUAAGCUUUUUUGGUCUCACAAUAUUCUCCAACACCAACAUGAGGAAGCAUUUCCUUUUGAAGGAUCUCUUUAGCAUAUUUUAUCCUUUUUUCCCUAGUUACACCAACAGUUGCUCCACGCUUUCCAAUGUAAUCUAGUGCAACCUGUUGAUUUUGAAUCACAAAUGCUUCUUCAAGAGAAGGCCGAAGCAACUCCAUCAUUUGAGUAUCAGAGAAAUCAUAGCAUAUGUGUUCUAAUAUGUCUUUGUCAGCAACAAACGCCAGGGCUCGAAACACAAUAAUAAUUGGAAUUUCAGUGCGAAUAUAGGGAAGUGUACUGCCCUCCUUGGCACUAGUUCGGGAUAACAUCCGCACAAACAUAGUAGUCAGUGGCCGGUUCUGAGACUCUGCCAUGGACCAAACUUCUGCCACAUAUGCAUACUUGUUUGGCUGACUCUUCCUCAUCAUAAGGACACUUCCCAAGCUCUGUAAGAUCUUUCUCUGAAUUCUGGUACAAUGUGCAAUAACUCAAUCUAAGCAUUAUACGAACCUUUCCAAUGAAAACCUUGGUGAAAUCAUUAGUUUCGGUGACUGCUUCACCAUUAUGCCCUUUCUUUAUGACCCCCUUUGUAACAUCCACAUACAAGGGGGCUGAGCAUGUUAGGUUCCUCAACCUUGCAGCUUUAGGAAAUAACGUUGCAGUUUCUCCAUCAGACUCAGUCAACAUGGGCUUGCUCAAAUAAAUCUGGCCAAAGCUUAUCUCAUAGAUGGUCUUAGCGAAAUCAGACUGGUGGCCGGGAUUGUGCUGACUUUCGGGGCGCAUCUCAAUGUCAGCAGACUCAUCUACUAUUUCAUGCAUAGUAUUCUGAAUAAACUCAUCGAAUGAAUCAAGUUGUUGACGCACCAGACCUUUCUCUUCAAAAUAGGCAGAGAUGACAGCCCAUGCGUCCUCCUGCGUGAUCUCAUCAUCGUCUUCUUCCUCCUCAUUUAGAGGCUGAUCGUACUCCUGGUCGUCUUCCAUGGCAAAUUUCGGGCCUUUUUUGGAUAAUUAGUGUUCGUUAAUCAAGUAAUUUACAUAUAUUCUUCAGUAUUAGAGAAUUAUUUGCUGCUUAUGCUUGAUCAGUGGAUACAGAGAGUGUUCAGUGAAACCCUAGAUAAGGUUUUAGAGAGAAAAUAACAAUACGGUCACGAAGUGUAAUUGCGAAAUGCCUAAUGGCUG
Molecule: unclassified non-coding RNA, 4324 nt
Filed under: Hevea brasiliensis (rubber tree)
Lineage: Eukaryota; Viridiplantae; Streptophyta; Magnoliopsida; Malpighiales; Euphorbiaceae
Source: RNAcentral